GCACGCCGUAUCUUUAAACUGCCCUCAAAUUACACAUGAAAUGCAAGUAAGACAAGGCUACAGUGCUUCUGCAGCUCAGAUCUGAAAGCAAGUCAUCCUUACUUAUAGAUUUACUGGGUGCUGAUUAAAUGGGAAAUAAAUCCUUCUAUAAACAUACUCUCAAGAUACGUCAAAUCUGUAUAAUUCUGUAAUUUUAAUAACAGAUUAAAUUCAGUAAAAAGAAAACCAUAUCUGUAAUGUACAAAAAAAAAAAUGCCUACUGGUUAUACAUGGUCUUAAAACCUAUCCAACCAACCCCACCCCUAUCCCCACUGAAAGAAGAUGGCUUAAUCUGGCUUCUGCCUCUACCAAAAUGCACCCAUUUGCUUCCUAGAUAUAAAAAUAAAAAUGUGUUUCAUAAUAAGCAUCAAUAUCUCUCAAAAAAUGGUUCUAAAUGUAAUUCAGAGUGCCCUGAAAGGACCACACUCAUGUUUAAGAUGAUUAUGGGGGGGCUGUGGUGUUUAUUAAUAUUAGAAUCAACAUUUGCAAAUAUUUUUAUAUUUAAAUGCUACAGGAACAGUUACUUAAGUUCUAGGAUGGCAACAAAAUUUUGGCCCAUUAUUGUCAAGUAUAUGGUACAACUAUAUACUUGAUUAACAUCUUAACGAGAGUAUAAAGAAUUAUCAAUUAUCUUUCCCUGUGUAAAAUUUAAAAAAAAAAAAAAA
Molecule: long non-coding RNA, 704 nt
Filed under: Rattus norvegicus (Norway rat)
Lineage: Eukaryota; Metazoa; Chordata; Mammalia; Rodentia; Muridae
Description: long non-coding RNA NONRATT022180
Source: RNAcentral